Molecule: ribosomal RNA, 253 nt
Filed under: uncultured bacterium
Lineage: Bacteria
Description: partial 16S ribosomal RNA
Rfam family: Bacterial small subunit ribosomal RNA
Source: RNAcentral
UACAGAGGGGGCAAGCGUUGUUCGGAAUUACUGGGCGUAAAGGGCGCGUAGGCGGCCUUCUAAGUCGAACGUGAAAUCCCUGGGCUCAACCCAGGAACUGCGUCCGAUACUGGAAGGCUUGAAUCCGGGAGAGGGAUGCGGAAUUCCAGGUGUAGCGGUGAAAUGCGUAGAUAUCUGGAGGAACACCGGUGGCGAAGGCGGCAUCCUGGACCAACACUGACACUGAGGAGCGAAAGCCAGGGGAGCAAACGGG